This 253-nucleotide ribosomal RNA is filed under the name uncultured bacterium. RNAcentral's name for it is "partial 16S ribosomal RNA". It matches the Rfam family "Bacterial small subunit ribosomal RNA", at positions 524 to 776 of the family's 1533-position model. The record is from RNAcentral.
UACGGGGGGGGCAAGCGUUGUCCGGAAUUAUUGGGCGUAAAGGGCUCGUAGGCGGUUUGUCACGUCGGGAGUGAAAACUCAGGGCUUAACCCUGAGCCUGCUUCCGAUACGGGCAGACUAGAGGUAUGCAGGGGAGAACGGAAUUCCUGGUGUAGCGGUGAAAUGCGCAGAUAUCAGGAGGAACACCGGUGGCGAAGGCGGUUCUCUGGGCAUUACCUGACGCUGAGGAGCGAAAGUGUGGGGAGCGAACAGG